GAGGUCCAUGCUGAUUUCAAAAAAACCCACUGAUCUGUCGUGUUCUGGAUAAACAUGGACUGUGACCACCUGAGCCAAUGCCUGGAGGAGAGUCUAGAGAAAGCAGGCUAGGAAAGGAAGACGAUCUCUCAGGCAGCUGGACCAUGCCAAGUCAGACACAAAGAGGAGUUACAGCAUUUGGCCUCCAAGUACCCCAACCUGGUCAUCAUGCCGCUUGAAGUCACCGACCCCGCCAGCAUCCAGGCAGCUGCA
Non-coding RNA from Struthio camelus australis, 252 nucleotides. Lineage: Eukaryota; Metazoa; Chordata; Aves; Struthioniformes; Struthionidae. The record is from RefSeq and is a predicted model, not a curated record.